UACGUAGGGUGCGAGCGUUGUCCGGAAUUACUGGGCGUAAAGGGCGCGUAGGCGGCCUUCUAAGUCGAACGUGAAAUCCCCGGGCUCAACCCGGGAACUGCGUCCGAUACUGGAAGGCUUGAAUCCGGGAGAGGGAUGCGGAAUUCCAGGUGUAGCGGUGAAAUGCGUAGAUAUCUGGAGGAACACCGGUGGCGAAGGCGGCAGCCUGGACCGGUAUUGACGCUGAGGCGCGAAAGCCAGGGGAGCAAACGGG
RNAcentral lists this ribosomal RNA (253 nucleotides) under uncultured bacterium. RNAcentral's name for it is "partial 16S ribosomal RNA". It matches the Rfam family "Bacterial small subunit ribosomal RNA", at positions 524 to 776 of the family's 1533-position model. The record is from RNAcentral.